This 848-nucleotide ribosomal RNA is filed under the name uncultured marine bacterium. RNAcentral's name for it is "bacterial SSU rRNA". It matches the Rfam family "Bacterial small subunit ribosomal RNA", at positions 38 to 935 of the family's 1533-position model. The record is from RNAcentral.
GGCGGAGCGGCGGUACCUGCAGUCGACGAACCUUCGGGUUAGUGGCGGACGGGUGAGUAACACGUGAGAAUCUGCCCUCAGGAGGGGGAUAACGGUUGGAAACGACCGCUAAUACCCCAUAUGCCUACUGGUGAAAUGAAUUUCGCCUGAGGAUGAGCUCGCGUCUGAUUAGCUAGUUGGUGAGGUAAUGGCUUACCAAGGCUUCGAUCAGUAGCUGGUCUGAGAGGAUGAUCAGCCACACUGGGACUGAGACACGGCCCAGACUCCUACGGGAGGCAGCAGUGGGGAAUUUUCCGCAAUGGGCGAAAGCCUGACGGAGCAACGCCGCGUGAGGGACGAAGGCCUCUGGGCUGUAAACCUCUUUUCUCAAGGAAGAAGAUAUGACGGUACUUGAGGAAUAAGCCACGGCUAAUUCCGUGCCAGCAGCCGCGGUAAUACGGGAGUGGCAAGCGUUAUCCGGAAUUAUUGGGCGUAAAGCGUCCGCAGGCGGCUUUUCAAGUCUGCUGUUAAAGCGUGGAGCUUAACUCCAUCAUGGCAGUGGAAACUGAAAGGCUUGAGUAUGGUAGGGGCAGAGGGAAUUCCCGGUGUAGCGGUGAAAUGCGUAGAUAUCGGGAAGAACACCAGUGGCGAAGGCGCUCUGCUGGGCCAUUACUGACGCUCAUGGACGAAAGCCAGGGGAGCGAAAGGGAUUAGAUACCCCUGUAGUCCUGGCCGUAAACGAUGAACACUAGGUGUCGGGGGAAUCGACCCCUUCGGUGUCGUAGCUAACGCGUUAAGUGUUCCGCCUGGNGAGUACGCACGCAAGUGUGAAACUCAAAGGAAUUGACGGGGGCCCGCACAAGCGGUGG